RNAcentral lists this ribosomal RNA (402 nucleotides) under uncultured bacterium. RNAcentral describes it as "bacterial SSU rRNA". It matches the Rfam family "Bacterial small subunit ribosomal RNA", at positions 355 to 775 of the family's 1533-position model. The record is from RNAcentral.
UGGGGAAUAUUGCACAAUGGGCGAAAGCCUGAUGCAGCAACGCCGCGUGAGUGAUGACGGUCUUCGGAUUGUAAAGCUCUGUCUUUGGGGACGAUAAUGACGGUACCCAAGGAGGAAGCCACGGCUAACUACGUGCCAGCAGCCGCGGUAAUACGUAGGUGGCAAGCGUUGUCCGGAUUUACUGGGCGUAAAGGGUGCGUAGGCGGACCUUUAAGUGAGAUGUGAAAUCCCCGAGCUUAACUUGGGGGCUGCAUUUCAAACUGGAGGCUAGGGGGGCAGAGGAGGGGGGGGAAAUUCUUAGGGAAGCGGUGAAAUGGGUGGGAAUAAGAAGGACAACAAGUGGGAAGGCCGACCCUCUGAACUGUACUGACGCUGAGGCACGAAAGCGUGGGGAGCAAACAG